CCCUUAGAUGUCCUGGGCUGCACGCGCGCUACACUGGAAGUUACGGAUUGAGAUACUACCUUGUCCGAAAUGGUCCGGGUAAUCACCUAAAAGCUUGUCAUAAUUGGAAUGGGUUAUUGUAACUAGUAAUCCUGAACGAGGAAUUCCUAGUAAGUCCCAGUCAACAGCUGGUACUGAUUACGUCCCUGCCCUUUGUACACACCGCCCGUCGCUACUACUGAUUGGACGUUUAAGCAAGAUUUUUAAACACUGACAGUGUGUAGUUCACGCUAUACUACAGUGAGAAGAAGAAGAUCGAGCUUACUUGUCUAGAGGAAGUAAAAGUCGUAACA
Molecule: ribosomal RNA, 332 nt
Filed under: uncultured eukaryote
Lineage: Eukaryota
Description: partial 18S ribosomal RNA
Rfam family: Eukaryotic small subunit ribosomal RNA
Source: RNAcentral